UGGGGAAUUUUGGACAAUGGGCGAAAGCCUGAUCCAGCAAUGCCGCGUGUGUGAAGAAGGCCUUCGGGUUGUAAAGCACUUUUGUCCGGAAAGAAAUCCUUGGCUCUAAUACAGUCGGGGGAUGACGGUACCGGAAGAAUAAGCACCGGCUAACUACGUGCCAGCAGCCGCGGUAAUACGUAGGGUGCAAGCGUUAAUCGGAAUUACUGGGCGUAAAGCGUGCGCAGGCGGUUUGCUAAGACCGAUGUGAAAUCCCCGGGCUCAACCUGGGAACUGCAUUGGUGACUGGCAGGCUAGAGUAUGGCAGAGGGGGGUAGAAUUCCACGUGUAGCAGUGAAAUGCGUAGAGAUGUGGAGGAAUACCGAUGGCGAAGGCAGCCCCCUGGGCCAAUACUGACGCUCAUGCACGAAAGCGUGGGGAGCAAAACAGGAUUAGAUACCCUGGUAGUCCACGCCCUAAACGAUGUCAACUAGUUGUUGGGGAUUCAUUUCCUAGUAACGUAGCUAACGCGUGAAGUUGACCGCCUGGGGAGUACGGUCGCAAGAUUAAAACUCAAAGGAAUUGAC
This 566-nucleotide ribosomal RNA is filed under the name uncultured bacterium. Its description in RNAcentral is "partial 16S ribosomal RNA". It matches the Rfam family "Bacterial small subunit ribosomal RNA", at positions 355 to 914 of the family's 1533-position model. The record is from RNAcentral.